UGUGUUCAAAAUGCAUUUAAAAAUGAAAAAGUUUUAAUGGUUUUGACUAAAGAAAAGUUUUAAGUGUGUUUUGGGCAGAAGGAACUUCAGCUGCCGAAAGUCCAUUUUACUGUUAAGGAGCUCUUUGAAGAAAUUUCCUUAGAUUUUUCAAAAUCUAGAGGUCAAUUCUUCUAUUUAGAAGUUUGGGAAAGCAGAUUCAAACUUCGGGUCUUUGGUUCUCUCACCUUCAAACUUCAAAAAAAGAGAUAACAUUAUUUCAAGGAAUUAGAUUUCUACAUCAUCAAUUUUAUGUAAAGUUUUGUGAUUUAUGUUGAAAUUGCAUGUUUUUAUUGUUA
This 335-nucleotide unclassified non-coding RNA is filed under the name Hevea brasiliensis (rubber tree). Lineage: Eukaryota; Viridiplantae; Streptophyta; Magnoliopsida; Malpighiales; Euphorbiaceae. The record is from RNAcentral.